GGGUUGUGAGGUUAAGCGACUAAGCGUACACGGUGGAUGCCCUGGCAGUCAGAGGCGAUGAAGGACGUGCUAAUCUGCGAAAAGCGUCGGUAAGGUGAUAUGAACCGUUAUAACCGGCGAUGUCCGAAUGGGGAAACCCAGUGCAAUUCGUUGCACUAUCGUUAACUGAAUACAUAGGUUAACGAGGCGAACCGGGGGAACUGAAACAUCUAAGUACCCCGAGGAAAAGAAAUCAACCGAGAUUCCCCCAGUAGCGGCGAGCGAACGGGGAGCAGCCCAGAGUCUGAAUCAGCUUGUGUGUUAGUGGAACGGUCUGGAAAGUCCGACGGUACAGGGUGAUAGUCCCGUACACCAAAAUGCACAGGCUGUGAACUCGAAGAGUAGGGCGGGACACGUGGUAUCCUGUCUGAAUAUGGGGGGACCAUCCUCCAAGGCUAAAUACUCCUGACUGACCGAUAGUGAACCAGUACCGUGAGGGAAAGGCGAAAAGAACCCCGGCGAGGGGAGUGAAAAAGAACCUGAAACCGUGUACGUACAAGCAGUGGGAGCACCUUCGGGUGUGACUGCGUACCUUUUGUAUAAUGGGUCAGCGACUUAUAUUCUGUAGCAAGGUUAACCGUAUAGGGGAGCCGCAGGGAAACCGAGUCUUAACUGGGCGUUAAGUUGCAGGGUAUAGACCCGAAACCCGGUGAUCUAGCCAUGGGCAGGUUGAAGGUUGGGUAACACUAACUGGAGGACCGAACCGACUAAUGUUGAAAAAUUAGCGGAUGACUUGUGGCUGGGGGUGAAAGGCCAAUCAAACCGGGAGAUAGCUGGUUCUCCCCGAAAGCUAUUUAGGUAGCGCCUCGUGAACUCAUCUUCGGGGGUAGAGCACUGUUUCGGCUAGGGGGUCAUCCCGACUUACCAACCCGAUGCAAACUACGAAUACCGAAGAAUGUUAUCACGGGAGACACACGGCGGGUGCUAACGUCCGUCGUGAAGAGGGAAACAACCCAGACCGCCAGCUAAGGUCCCAAAGUCAUGGUUAAGUGGGAAACGAUGUGGGAAGGCACAGACAGCCAGGAUGUUGGCUUAGAAGCAGCCAUCAUUUAAAGAAAGCGUAAUAGCUCACUGGUCGAGUCGGCCUGCGCGGAAGAUGUAACGGGGCUAAACCAUGCACCGAAGCUGCGGCAGCGACACUAUGUGUUGUUGGGUAGGGGAGCGUUCUGUAAGCCUGCGAAGGUGUGCUGUGAGGCAUGCUGGAGGUAUCAGAAGUGCGAAUGCUGACAUAAGUAACGAUAAAGCGGGUGAAAAGCCCGCUCGCCGGAAGACCAAGGGUUCCUGUCCAACGUUAAUCGGGGCAGGGUGAGUCGACCCCUAAGGCGAGGCCGAAAGGCGUAGUCGAUGGGAAACAGGUUAAUAUUCCUGUACUUGGUGUUACUGCGAAGGGGGGACGGAGAAGGCUAUGUUAGCCGGGCGACGGUUGUCCCGGUUUAAGCAUGUAGGCUGAUUGUCCAGGCAAAUCCGGAUAAUCAAGGCUGAGGUGUGAUGACGAGGCACUACGGUGCUGAAGUAACAAAUGCCCUGCUUCCAGGAAAAGCCUCUAAGCAUCAGGUAACAUCAAAUCGUACCCCAAACCGACACAGGUGGUCAGGUAGAGAAUACCAAGGCGCUUGAGAGAACUCGGGUGAAGGAACUAGGCAAAAUGGUGCCGUAACUUCGGGAGAAGGCACGCUGGUGUGUAGGUGAAGUCCCUGCGGAUGGAGCUGAGACCAGUCGAAGAUACCAGCUGGCUGCAACUGUUUAUUAAAAACACAGCACUGUGCAAACACGAAAGUGGACGUAUACGGUGUGACGCCUGCCCGGUGCCGGAAGGUUAAUUGAUGGGGUUAUCCGUAAGGAGAAGCUCUUGAUCGAAGCCCCGGUAAACGGCGGCCGUAACUAUAACGGUCCUAAGGUAGCGAAAUUCCUUGUCGGGUAAGUUCCGACCUGCACGAAUGGCGUAAUGAUGGCCAGGCUGUCUCCACCCGAGACUCAGUGAAAUUGAACUCGCUGUGAAGAUGCAGUGUACCCGCGGCAAGACGGAAAGACCCCGUGAACCUUUACUAUAGCUUGACACUGAACAUUGAGCCUUGAUGUGUAGGAUAGGUGGGAGGCUUUGAAGCGUGGACGCCAGUCUGCGUGGAGCCAACCUUGAAAUACCACCCUUUAAUGUUUGAUGUUCUAACGUUGGCCCCUGACCGGGGUUGCGGACAGUGUCUGGUGGGUAGUUUGACUGGGGCGGUCUCCUCCCAAAGCGUAACGGAGGAGCACGAAGGUUAGCUAAUCCUGGUCGGACAUCAGGAGGUUAGUGCAAUGGCAUAAGCUAGCUUGACUGCGAGCGUGACGGCGCGAGCAGGUGCGAAAGCAGGUCAUAGUGAUCCGGUGGUUCUGAAUGGAAGGGCCAUCGCUCAACGGAUAAAAGGUACUCCGGGGAUAACAGGCUGAUACCGCCCAAGAGUUCAUAUCGACGGCGGUGUUUGGCACCUCGAUGUCGGCUCAUCACAUCCUGGGGCUGAAGUAGGUCCCAAGGGUAUGGCUGUUCGCCAUUUAAAGUGGUACGCGAGCUGGGUUUAGAACGUCGUGAGACAGUUCGGUCCCUAUCUGCCGUGGGCGCUGGAGAAUUGAGGGGGGCUGCUCCUAGUACGAGAGGACCGGAGUGGACGCAUCACUGGUGUUCGGGUUGUCAUGCCAAUGGCACUGCCCGGUAGCUAAAUGCGGAAGAGAUAAGUGCUGAAAGCAUCUAAGCACGAAACUUGCCCCGAGAUGAGUUCUCCCUGAGACUCUAAGUCUCCUGAAGGAACGUUGAAGACGACGACGUUGAUAGGCCGGGUGUGUAAGCGCAGCGAUGCGUUGAGCUAACCGGUACUAAUGAACCGUGAGGCUUAACCUUACAACGCCGAAG
RNAcentral lists this ribosomal RNA (2923 nucleotides) under Klebsiella pneumoniae. RNAcentral describes it as "bacterial LSU rRNA". It matches the Rfam family "Bacterial large subunit ribosomal RNA". Lineage: Bacteria; Pseudomonadati; Pseudomonadota; Gammaproteobacteria; Enterobacterales; Enterobacteriaceae. The record is from RNAcentral.